This 328-nucleotide ribosomal RNA is filed under the name Macrolophus pygmaeus. RNAcentral's name for it is "partial 12S ribosomal RNA". Lineage: Eukaryota; Metazoa; Arthropoda; Insecta; Hemiptera; Miridae. The record is from RNAcentral.
UUUACUAUCAAAUCCGAAUUAUAUAAAUGUUUAAAUGUCUAUAACUUCAUAUAUUAAUAAUGUAACCCAUAAUUACUUAAUUAUAACUAACCCUUGACCUAACAUUAAAGAUUAAAAACUAGUUAGAAGAUUAACUUUUUAGUACAUUCAUGAUAGAGGUAUAUAAGUAAAAAAUCAAGUAAAAUUUAUUGUGGUUUAUCAAUUAAAAUACAGGUUCCUCUGAACAGCUAAAUUACCGCCAAAUCUUUUAAAUUUAAAGAACAAAACUACUAAUAAUUUAGUGUAAAUUUAUUUACAAUUAUAAUAGUGGGGUAUCUAAUCCCAGUUU